Molecule: long non-coding RNA, 1095 nt
Organism: Arachis ipaensis
Lineage: Eukaryota; Viridiplantae; Streptophyta; Magnoliopsida; Fabales; Fabaceae
Source: RefSeq, a predicted model, not a curated record
ACCCCACCUCACCGCCACUCCACACCGCCAUUCCCUUGACCCAACCCCAUCCCUUUCAGAAAGAAAUAAGGAAAGAAACAGGAAAAAAGAAAAGAGAAGAGAGCAGAGGGCGUUGAGGAAGAAGGAGAAAGGGGGAAGAGGGAAGAGAGGAAGACGGCAUCAGCGGGCAUCACUGCCGCCGUGCCGUUGUGUCACCGUCAAAGGAGAGAGGGAGCCGCGCGGAGAAGCCUAGCCGAAGAGAGAAAGGAGGACAUGAGCAAGGGAAGAAGAGAAGGGGAAGCUACCGCCGUUACCCGCGUCGCAGUCGAGGGAAGGGAUCCGCCGCGCCCAGCCGCCACUGUUCAGUCUCAUCUCGUCGCCAGUCGCUGUAGUUGUCGCCAAUGAUGGAGAAGAGAGAGAGACGAACGCGAGGAGAGGGAGAGAAGCCCUUCGCGUUGUUGCUGUCGCGCUGGAGAACUGACCGUCGAGGAAGCUAUUGCUGCGAACUCAUAUUGCCUGCACCGCCGUGAGUCAAGCCGUCACCGUCAUGCCAUCAUCGCGCCGUGGAUCUGCUCCGUCACCGAACUGAGCUAUGGGUGAAGGGUCAGAACUCGACGGGUAAGGGAGACUGUCUCGCCGUCAGAGCUGUGUCACCGUCGUGAACCGCCGCCGUUCUGGUCGUCGGAAGCCACCACCGCGCCUUGUCAUCGCCAGAGUUGCCACCACCGCUUCUCACCGCUGAGGGUAAGCCUUGCCUACGUUGCUGCCUUCCGGGCCAGAUUCACCGAUUAAUCCUACCGUCGUCACUGGCUUGCCAUUUCUGCUCGGUCGUGCCCUUAUUCGCCGUUCUGAUUGUUGAAAGGAAAUGUUGUCGAAGCUAUAGCUUCUCCGUUCCCCAUUCCCUUGUUUCUUUUCUGAGCUGCUGUGUUUGCGGUUAUUACUUUUGCUUGCCGUUCUUCUCCGUUAGCAGAGGGUGCUUGGAAUACAAAUUAUGAUGUAGCUGCUGCAGAAUAAGCUUUACUUUUCAGGAACCGAAUGAAGAAGCACUAAGAAGAGUUAUACUGCGUUUGGUUUAUAUGUUGUUGUAUUAAUUAGAUUAUUUUCUUCCCUCGUCUU